AAAAAUGUCUUCGAGCCUCUGCUCCUAAGGCGCUGCUAUGGAGCCUUGUGCCGGUCGGGAAACCGACAAAGGGUUGCGUUUGGAAACGAAGCAGCCUUCCGUGUUUGAAAAGGAGAC
RNAcentral lists this non-coding RNA (117 nucleotides) under uncultured Faecousia sp. RNAcentral's name for it is "Moco (molybdenum cofactor) riboswitch". It matches the Rfam family "Molybdenum/Tungsten riboswitch aptamer (Moco RNA motif)", at positions 11 to 121 of the family's 135-position model. The record is from RNAcentral. Lineage: Bacteria; Bacillati; Bacillota; Clostridia; Eubacteriales; Oscillospiraceae.